UUGGUGAAGGUUGCAGUGUAAACUUGAGGAAGUGAUCUCCCCUCUGCUAUUUGCUCCCCAGCAGUCAACCAGGAUGCUGCUCUUCUGUGUGCUUCUCUUAGUAUCUCUGAUAGGGGAAAGUUCUGAACAGACAAUAACAGCAAUGAUGACUGAAAUGAAUGCUUUAGAUGGAGAAAAUGUCACCCUCUCGUGCAAAUAUGAUGGCAUAAACAUUCAGAGUUUGCAGUGGUAUCUCCAGUACCCCGGAUCUAGACCAGAGUAUGUGCUUUUAGUCUUCGUUCGUGUCGAUCGUGCUGACUCUCAAAAUCUACGGCUCAAUGCCAUGGUGAACUCGGACAGAAAACAAGUUUCUUUGAAGAUCUCCUCUGCAAAGAUCUCAGACUCUGCUGUGUACUACUGCGCUCUGCAGCCCACAGUGACAGGAAACACAACAAGCCUGUACAAAAACCCAGGAGCAAAUGGCAGUGUUUGGUUAGUGUCAUUAUGUGUUUACUGCUCUAUUUCAUUACAGAAAUCUGAUUGAUUAUUGAAAUAAAAAGACAAAAUCACAUUACAUUGGAUCAUUUCUGUAUUACAUGUAGUAUCUUGUAAGUAAUGAAAUAAAUAAAAAAAACAUAGUGUGUGCCAUAUACAAAUGUUACGUGUGAUUGGAUUCUUUUAAAUGCUUUUUUAGAAUUAACAAUUCUUUGUGACAUUGCAAAUGGAUUUCCCAUAAACUGUCAAAACAAUAACAUUCCACAUA
Molecule: non-coding RNA, 742 nt
Organism: Clupea harengus (Atlantic herring)
Lineage: Eukaryota; Metazoa; Chordata; Actinopteri; Clupeiformes; Clupeidae
Source: the annotation of a RefSeq genome assembly